This 396-nucleotide ribosomal RNA is filed under the name Trachymyrmex sp. PAN002. RNAcentral's name for it is "partial 28S ribosomal RNA". The record is from RNAcentral. Lineage: Eukaryota; Metazoa; Arthropoda; Insecta; Hymenoptera; Formicidae.
CGGGAUCCUCGCGGUCCGUCCAGCGCGNACACGCUGCCGUGCNCNGAUGUCCGGCGUUCGUCGUCGUGCACUUCUCCCCUAGNANAACGUCNCGACCCGCUGGGUGUCAGUCUACGGCCCGGGUGCGGNGACUGACGCNUCGCCGGUAAAACGGUACGCGUCAAAUCCUCGGUCGCCCGGCCGACUGCCCGGCGGUACACGCAAGGUACCAGGCCGCAACUCGCGCGCGCCACGGUACACGGAGGCUAACGGACCUAGCGCCGUCACCGGUCCUGGCCCGCUGUUGGUCGUACNGGUUAACCUUCGACUGGGCCUGCGAACGUUCCCCGCCUCGCGCGGGGAACCGAUACCGGUCGGCGACGCUACUGCUUUGGGUACUCUUANGACCCGUCUUGA